AGGUUUCGGCCAGUGUUUUCAAUAAAAGUAAAAAUAAAUGUCAUUACAUUAGAAACUAAACAGACACUUUUUUGUCAUAAAUUAUUUCUUUACGCAAAAAUAUUAUAAAUUAAACAAAUGUACAUAAAAAAAGAAUUAUGUAACAUUUGUUGGUUCUCUGAAAAUGUUGUUUGAUUGUGACAGAACUUGGCGGAGUUGCUUUGGAUUCUGGCCCCACGACCCCGCAUACUGGUCUCAGUACCAGGAACACAUAAAUAGACUGGAACCUUAAUCUACUCGUCCCCGCCUGACCUAUGCAUCGAUUCAUGGGAGUAUCACUGUUCGCACGCAUGACACAAACUUUAGACGUGAGUCCCGAUCGGGUUCGGUUUCGGACCAACAGCGGCCUGAUUACGGGUCUCAGUACUAAGAGCACAUGAAUCGGGAGGAGUUCAGCAGUGAAAAAUGUCUCGACAAAUUCUGAAUUUGCGAAAUGGACCAGCAUCCAGUAGCUUCACAGUUCAAAUCUGCAUGAUACAUGUAAAACAUGAUAUUCGAUUCUACGAGUUACUUUAAUAGAUAGGAGAGAAAUUUGGACGAAUGUUGUGAGAUGAUUUAUUCUUGAAAUACAAAGUUAAAUUUCUGGACUUAGCAGAUUAUACCAGGUUCGAUCGAACCUUAAUAAACUGGGUGCAAUAAGUCUCGAACCUUGGCUGCGAAUGAGUACAAGGAGCACAUAUAAACAUGGGAGUCAAGCAAUCAGAUUGAUUCUGCUAUUUGUAUAAAUCAUCGGGGUGAAAUUUUCUACACAGAAAAAACCCCGUAAAUUAAA
Molecule: long non-coding RNA, 811 nt
Organism: Trichoplusia ni (cabbage looper)
Lineage: Eukaryota; Metazoa; Arthropoda; Insecta; Lepidoptera; Noctuidae
Exons: 2
Source: RefSeq, a predicted model, not a curated record